Molecule: ribosomal RNA, 499 nt
Filed under: uncultured cyanobacterium
Lineage: Bacteria; Bacillati; Cyanobacteriota
Description: bacterial SSU rRNA
Rfam family: Bacterial small subunit ribosomal RNA
Source: RNAcentral
UCUGCCCUUGGGUUCGGAAUAACUGGGAGAAAUUCCAGCUAAUACCGGAUGAUGUCGCGAGACCAAAGAUUUAUCGCCUGAGGAUGAGCCCGCGUAGGAUUAGGUAGUUGGUGGGGUAAAGGCCUACCAAGCCGACGAUCCUUAGCUGGUCUGAGAGGAUGAUCAGCCACACUGGGACUGAGACACGGCCCAGACUCCUACGGGAGGCAGCAGUGGGGAAUAUUGGACAAUGGGCGAAAGCCUGAUCCAGCAAUGCCGCGUGAGUGAUGAAGGCCUUAGGGUUGUAAAGCUCUUUUACCCGGGAUGAUAAUGACAGUACCGGGAGAAUAAGCCCCGGCUAACUCCGUGCCAGCAGCCGCGGUAAUACGGAGGGGGCUAGCGUUGUUCGGAAUUACUGGGCGUAAAGCGCACGUAGGCGGCUUUGUAAGUUAGAGGUGAAAGCCUGGAGCUCAACUCCAGAAUUGCCUUUAAGACUGCAUCGCUUGAAUCCAGGAGAGGU